AUACGUAGGGGACGAGCGUUGUCCGGAAUUACUGGGCGUAAAGGGCGCGCAGGCGGAUAUUUAAGUCAGCUGUAAAAGGCAUGAGCUCAACUCAUGUAUGCGGUUGAAACUGGGUAUCUAGAGUGCUGGAGAGGUAGGCGGAAUUCCCGGUGUAGCGGGGAAAUGCGUAGAUAUCGGGAAGAACACCAGUGGCGAAGGCGGCUUACUGGCCAGCAACUGACGCUGAGGCGCGAAAGCCAGGGGAGCGAACGGGAUUAGAUACCCCGGUAGUCCUGGCCGUAAACGAUGAAUGCUAGGUGUGGGUGUCGAGAGGCAUCCGUGCCGGAGUUAACGCGAUAAGCAUUCCGCCUGGGGAGUACGAUCGCAAGAUUGAAACUCAAAUGAAUUGACGGGG
Molecule: ribosomal RNA, 394 nt
Filed under: uncultured bacterium
Lineage: Bacteria
Description: partial 16S ribosomal RNA
Rfam family: Bacterial small subunit ribosomal RNA
Source: RNAcentral